AGCCCUCCUGAGGGGUGGUGAGUUUACCUGAGACAGCGACACUAAUUUGCGCUGAACCCUUUGAACCUGAUCCGGUUAGUGCCGGCGUAGGAAUAGGAAGUCAGCCUGCU
RNAcentral lists this non-coding RNA (110 nucleotides) under Thalassocella blandensis. RNAcentral describes it as "Teredinibacter sp. ISS155 TPP". It matches the Rfam family "TPP riboswitch aptamer (THI element)". Rfam says of the family: Vitamin B(1) in its active form thiamin pyrophosphate (TPP) is an essential coenzyme that is synthesised by coupling of pyrimidine and thiazole moieties in bacteria. The record is from RNAcentral. Lineage: Bacteria; Pseudomonadati; Pseudomonadota; Gammaproteobacteria; Cellvibrionales; Cellvibrionaceae.